ACAGCAGUCGCCGCGGUAAUACGUAGGGUGCAAGCGUUAAUCGGAAUUACUGGGCGUAAAGCGUGCGCAGGCGGUUAUAUAAGACAGUCGUGAAAUCCCCGGGCUCAACCUGGGAACUGCGAUUGUGACUGUAUGGCUAGAGUGUGUCAGAGGGGGGUAGAAUUCCACGUGUAGCAGUGAAAUGCGUAGAUAUGUGGAGGAAUACCGAUGGCGAAGGCAGCCCCCUGGGAUAACACUGACGCUCAUGCACGAAAGCGUGGGGAGCAAACAGGAUUAGAUACCCGGGUAGUCCCUGUCUCUUAUAC
This 305-nucleotide ribosomal RNA is filed under the name uncultured bacterium. Its description in RNAcentral is "partial 16S ribosomal RNA". It matches the Rfam family "Bacterial small subunit ribosomal RNA", at positions 508 to 807 of the family's 1533-position model. The record is from RNAcentral.